GUUGAAACACCGAUUCCCGUGCGAUUACCGAAGUUAAGCAACGUCGAGCCUGAUCAGUCCAUAUAUGGGUAACCUCUUGGGAAUACCAGAUACUGUAAG
Non-coding RNA from Acanthosepion pharaonis, 99 nucleotides. NCBI's taxonomy places the organism in Eukaryota, Metazoa, Mollusca, Cephalopoda, Sepiida, Sepiidae. The record is from the annotation of a GenBank genome assembly.